UUUAGUAUAUUCGCUUUAACUACAAGUUCAGGUUUAUUAUUGCUGUAUAUUUAUUUAGUGAAUAUAUAAAAAAUUAAAGAAGAGUUUAUGAAGGAAUAGAAAUCUUCAAGUAAAAAGUACUAAACUUUUUAAAUUUUUAUUUUAAUUGUAAUAUAGUCACGAAAGUGUGGUGUAUGAUCCUUUAGCUGCUCGAAGUUUGAGCCUAGGGGUGUUAGAAGAGUUGCUACUGGGAUGCCAGGCUUGUGAAUACUAAGAGUUUAUAGCAAUGUAGCUUUUUUAUCUUUUGAUGUAGACUCUUUCUAUCAUAUUGAAGUCGAGCUCAGUAACAGUCGAUUGCUCGUUCGCUAAUAAGGAAUGUGAGCUGGGUUUUGACUAUAGCAUGACAGGUUA
This 390-nucleotide non-coding RNA is filed under the name Conidiobolus coronatus NRRL 28638. Its description in RNAcentral is "Eukaryotic large subunit ribosomal RNA". It matches the Rfam family "Eukaryotic large subunit ribosomal RNA", at positions 2581 to 2985 of the family's 3401-position model. The record is from Rfam by way of RNAcentral. Lineage: Eukaryota; Fungi; Entomophthoromycota; Entomophthoromycetes; Entomophthorales; Conidiobolaceae.